RNAcentral lists this ribosomal RNA (532 nucleotides) under uncultured bacterium. RNAcentral describes it as "bacterial SSU rRNA". It matches the Rfam family "Archaeal small subunit ribosomal RNA", at positions 723 to 1262 of the family's 1478-position model. The record is from RNAcentral.
ACGGAAUAGAUACCCAGGUAGUCCCAGCUGUAAACGAUGCAGGCUAGGUGUUUGGACGGCCACGUGCCGUUCUAGUGCCGCAGGGAAGCUGUUAAGCCUGCCGCCUGGGGAGUACGAUCGCAAGAUUGAAACUUAAAGGAAGUUGGCGGGGGAGCACCACAAGGGGUGAAGCUUGCGGUUUAAUUGGAGUCAACGCCGGAAAUCUCACCGGGAGCGACAGCAGUAUGAAAGCCAGAUUAAAGGUCUUGCUAGACGAGCUGAGAGGGGGUGCAUGGCCGUCGCCAGUUCGUGCCGUGAGGUGUCCUGUUAAGUCAGGCAACGAUCGAGACCCGCGUCCUCUGUUGCAACCAGUUUUGUGCUGGGCACACUGAGGAGACCGCCACUGAUAAAGUGGAGGAAGGAGCGGCCACGGCAGGUCAGUAUGCCCCGAAUCUCCCGGGCCACACGCGAGCUGCAAUGGCAGGUACAAUGGGUUCCGACCUCGAAAGGGGAAGGCAAUCUCGAAAGCCUGCCGUAGUUGGAAUCGAAGGCU